Non-coding RNA from Phacochoerus africanus (Common warthog), 628 nucleotides. The record is from the annotation of a RefSeq genome assembly. Lineage: Eukaryota; Metazoa; Chordata; Mammalia; Artiodactyla; Suidae.
AGGAAACACCCAUGAAACCAGAAGUGCUCACAUCUGUAACAGAUCAUGAAGAAACACAGAGACCCACCCCAUGCUAUUCACCGCUUCUCCUGAGACACCAGAGCCAGCCUAGUUCUCUUGCCAUUGGCCUGAGACCUCCUAUCAACAGAGCCCUCACUUUCUUACCUCCUCGCUGGGAUCCAGUCUGGUGAUACAAUGGCACUUCUGGAAGCAGUCGUCUUCUCCUUUUUCUGGGCUGUUGGCCUUGGGAUGUUAGUGUUGGAGCAACCUGAAAUAUCAAUUACUGCAGCAAGACAGAAGAGUGCCCUCAUAGCUUGUAAGGUGUCCUCUGAAAAUUUUAACGACACAUACAUUCACUGGUACCGGCAUAAAUCAGAUCAGGGUAUGGAACAUCUCAUAUACCAUGUAACAGUCUUUACUCUAAGCCACUUAGGAGGGAAGAAAAACAAACUUGAGGCAAGAAAAAUUGCUUCCACUUCCACGGCCACCUUGAAAAUAAAUUUCUUGGAGCAAGAAGAUGAGGCCACAUAUUACUGUGCAAGCUGGUUUUAUCCACAGCAGUAGAAUUUCUUAGAUAACAUCCUCAAGAACACAAGAACCAUCUCUAGGUAGGUGCCACCCACAUCCU